GUUCUUGCUUCGGCAGAACAUAUACUAAAAUUGGAACGAUACAGAG
Molecule: small nuclear RNA, 46 nt
Filed under: Megaselia scalaris
Lineage: Eukaryota; Metazoa; Arthropoda; Insecta; Diptera; Phoridae
Source: RNAcentral